GACGAACGCUGGCGGCGUGCUUAACACAUGCAAGUCGAACGGAGUGGCGAACGGGUGAGUAACACGUGGGUGAACUGCCCUGCACUUCGGGAUAAGCCUGGGAAACUGGGUCUAAUACCGGAUAGUGUGGGAUGGGCCCGGGGCCUAUCAGUUUGUGGGGGGGGUAAUGGCCUACCAAGGCGGCGACGGAUAGCCGGCCGGGGAGGGGGGACGGCCACAUUGGGACUGUGACACGUCCCAGGCUGCUACGGGUGGCAGCGGUGGGAAAUAUUACACAAUGGGCGGGAGCCAGUGGCAGCGGCGCUGCGUGGGGAAUGACGUCCUUCGGGUUGUAAACUCCUUUCACCAUCGACGCGGUAGAUGGAGAAGAAGCACCGGCUAACUCCGUGCCAGCCGCCGCGGUAAUUC
RNAcentral lists this ribosomal RNA (408 nucleotides) under uncultured bacterium. RNAcentral's name for it is "partial 16S ribosomal RNA". It matches the Rfam family "Bacterial small subunit ribosomal RNA", at positions 28 to 526 of the family's 1533-position model. The record is from RNAcentral.